This is a long non-coding RNA of Octopus sinensis (East Asian common octopus), 3790 nucleotides long. RefSeq lists it as uncharacterized. The record is from RefSeq and is a predicted model, not a curated record. The transcript has 2 exons. Lineage: Eukaryota; Metazoa; Mollusca; Cephalopoda; Octopoda; Octopodidae.
UACCAGUUUCAGUCACUGCAUAGGUUAAUAGUCAAUCUGAAGGUAAUUGUGAUCUUGCUGGCACUUACCUACAUUGUUGAAUCUACAAACUGAUGGAAAGUUGAAUAUUUGUAUUUAAGCACAAGUGUAACACAUUUUAUACAAAAUAUAUUAAACAUUAUCAGUAUUAUUUCAAAGAAAGCAAGUAGAACUGUAUAUUCCAUCAUCAUAUUAAAAAAAAAAGUUAGUGAGGGAGUUUGGGGUGGAGAAAGAAAUAAAACUUUUGACUCAAGAGUAGACUACUAGCUAAAACAAAAUUACUUCCCAUGGGAGAAAUGCAUCAAUUUUCAUUGUAUUUAUAGAGAGAGAAGGAACAUAACACAAGUUGAAACAUUGGCACUUAUAAAUACCUCAAUACUUGGAUUAAGGACAGACCAAAAUGCAGCAUUCUAGUCAAUGGUAUAACUUGGGUAUUAGAGAAGAAAAAUUCAAUUUCUGGAAACUUUAAAGCCAUGCUAGAACUGAAUCAAAUGAAUAUUUAAAGGACAUACUAAAAUAUCUGCAUAGCCAUGAAGGAAAUUUUAGUUAAAUAUUUACCAAUACAAUAAUCAAGAAAUAAUAUCCUUAAAAUAAUGUUUUGUUAUCUAAUUUAGUGCUGUCAUGCCUACAUGUGUACAAACGCACACACACACACACAUAAACAUAGAUGAAUGAAAAGAGCCCUCUGUACACGAAGCAGAUUAUACAAUUAUUGGAAAACAGUUAAUUCCAUAGUUACUCAAAGAGCAAACAAAUGCAUGAAGUAUAGCCCUGUGAUGCUUCAGAUCAUAUUGUGGAUUAAUGCACAAUAUAUAUAUAUGCACAUGCACACAUAUGACAUUAGUUCAGUUUACUGAACAAAAUAAAGGGCUAGAAACAUUUAGUGCUGAGUUAAACUGUUUAUCGAAUAUAAUCUCUGCCACACUAUAAUAGUGUUUUAGAUCAGAGUUAGACCUUGACUAGAGGUUAAAAAUAAGAGACAAAUUAGUUUUCAAAUAUAGUUAGAAACCAAGAUAAUGAAGGCUAAAGAGAGUUAAAGUCUAGUGUAUGUAAGUUUAUGUUCUUAUAGCAGAAAUGGAGUAGGUGAACGAAAUGAUAUAAUAAAUGUAAAUUAAAUAAAAAUGAAUAUAUAUAUGUGGAUAUAUUCAUAGAGAAAUAUUUGUGGAGAUAAUACGAAAAACUCAGUUUUUGUGAAAUAAAAGAAAAGAAAUAUUGUUUACUAGCUAAAGGGAAGUAACUAUUAUGAACCGUUAGAAACUUGAGUUGUGUUUAUUUAAAAAAAAUCUUUUGUGACUGGAUUGUCAAGUCGCCAUUCAGGGAAGUUAUUGAUGCCUCUGUUCAUGGAAAGAGGGAAGGUUUGGCAUAAAGUGUCAAGGUUGACUGUGAAUUAUGCAUGUGAGCAGAAUAUCAAAGAGUAAUGGUUAUCAUCAGCAUAGGAGUAAGCAUUACUAAAAGUGAUGACAAGCAAUCUUUAACAUAGUAAUGUUAAUAGAUUUGGGGAUUAGAGAGACUCACACCCCACCCAGCAACAGCUUAUCAAAGAGAGUCUUAUGUCACACAAACGCUUACAAAUUGUGAUGACGUCUCUGAAGAUAAGACCACUGAUAAGCGAUAUAGGAGAAUAAGGCCCUAGAUCUGGUAUUAUGAAAGAUGUAUUGUAGUGUAAUUAAGACUUCAGUUGUUGAGAUCAGAAGUGAGAGUGAUAGGCAGAUUAUUGGUAGGAUCUAAGAGUUUACCUUAAACAGAGGUAGGGCACUGUAAUAUGCUCCCAAAGAAGCAUGUCACAUAUUCUAGUAUAGAAAGAAAUAUUGAAAUGUUCAGCAAGACUCAAGAACAUUUGUUUGAGAGUAGUAGAAAAUGCAUGCAUUGUGGAGCUGGCAAAAUAUAGAGCUGCAAAUGUGGAAGAUUUUUCUGUAAGAGUACUGCUUAAAGAGGCACCUUGGUUGAAGAGAGGCAGAUAGCAGGGUUUUGCAAGAUUAGUAAAAAAGAAAUAAAAAUAACUAGUUGCAAUUGGGGAUGCUAGCUUUGGGAAUGCAGUGAUGACUAAAACCUAUUCAGUGGAAUUGAGUGAGUUUCUGCAGACUGGUGGUGUGUGAGUCAGGAUUAAGGCUUUGGUUGUGGGAGGGAUAUGAAGAGAGAUGCUUAGGAGGAUGGCUUUGGUUGCUUAGCUGUCUUAGAUAGAUCAAUGGCGAAGCAUAUUUGCUUUCAGAAAUAGAGCAAAACUAGCAGAUCUCUGACCAGUUACUUUGAAGUAUUAUAGUAUUUUAGGGAGUUGGUUUGUUGUAAGAGCAAGUUGAUGUAUAGCUCAUAGCCUUGACUAAACAGAUGAUUUGAUAGAAGUAUAGAAUGGCGACAAUUUAGUAAAAGUUAGGUUUGGUGGUGAGAAAGAGAUCAAUGGCAAUUUAAAUACCUGUGUGACAGAGAUAUAAGUGAUGACAUUAACUGUUGAAAAAGUGUUUAAAGUGGCACCUUUGCUCUUCUCGACCUUGCUGAAUUUAUUCCACUCUUAACUGCUUCUCCUUUUCUCAGAAUUUUUACCAGUUGAUCACUGGUGUGUUCAUGGGUACCAAGCUGGGCCCUAACUAUGCCAAUUUGUUAGCUUGGUCACGUUGAAUACCAAAUCUAUUUCACCAGAUCUACAACCCUUACCAGUAAACAGCUUAACUUUUCCAUCACUUUUGACAACUUUUAACCCUACCUUAGAUAUCACAAUCACCAUCACUACUACUUCUGUGAAAUUUAUGGACAAUCUGUUUCUAAUGAUUACCCCAAUGUCUCCACCUUUUACUACUUUAUCACUUACCACUCCACUCACACUAAAUCCACUAUCUCUUUCUAACAAUUCAUCUACAUUACUAAUCGACUCUGAGGCUCAGUCAUACCACAUAGUUCACUACUUCUUAAGAGUGGCUGCCCACAACUAAUCAUUGAUACUGCUUACCACUGAAUGCUCAUGCUACUACUCUUCUACUUUGUUUGUUCAACUUCCAACCAUUUUCGCUCUUCACUCACCUACAUUUCUUCUCUUUUACCUCUCCAGAGCACCAUCCCAUGGAACUUUUGUCUCUUUUAGUCUGACAUCACUUCCUACAUUUUGCUCUAUAUAACCUUUCUCUUCCUUCAGUGGAUUUUUCUGUUUGCUCCUGUUGCAACAUCUGUCUCUCUACCCAAGACCUUACGACCUUGCACCAUGUACACCAUUUACUGCAUAAGAUAAAACUCUGUGGUUUGUGGUAUAUUGUAAAGACUAGAUCAACAGUUCAUUUUGGAGAACACCUUUUAGAUGUUCAACACAAGAGCAUCAGAUUUUUCCAACUUGCAAACUAUCACAUUAAUUUUUCUGGUACCUCUGCUUGCAUCUCACCAUCUUUAAUGUUUUUACCCCAAGGAUCUCCUGUUUCAUAUUUGUAUUAUGAACAAUUGAUUUUUCAUUGAAACAGCCUAUCAAGUUGAGGUUAAUAAUCAAGUUGCCUAUCUCUAAUAAUAUUGCCUUCCCCUUAACACUACCAUACACUGAUAAAUACCCUCCUGUGCACUUUAUCUAGCAAAGCAUACUAUUAUGAUUUGUUCAUACCACCUGCAUAGUAGUACAUUACCUCAUCACUAUUUUCAUCUACUCUCUAGAACAUACUCAAGCUUAUACAUCUCAUUUAUCUCAUUCAGCUCUGAAACAUUAGGCUGAAAAGCACCAUUCUACACACUGCCAUUAUAUCCACUUCAAUUUUCAUUUGCCACAGUCGCUUCGCUGUAAAACAUUACAAUUCAUAUAGCA